CUGCUCCAAAGCAGCAGAGCUCCUGCCACAGGGUGCCUGCAGGAGCUGAAACUGCAGCUGUACCUGCUCCAAAACAGCAGAGCUCCUGUCACAGGGUGCCCGCAGCACUGCUCAGCUGCAGCCCCAGCAGCGCGGCAGAGCAGCGAGGGACACGAGGGACACGCUGCUCCCGCACACCUCUGCCUGGCCACGGCUCACUGCGGUGAGUACAGGGGAAGCAUCGCUACAAGAGAAACUCUGGAAUGCAUUUCCAAAGGGAACUGCUAUUCCCUCCAAGAAAUCUUACUGCAUGCAGGGCUCACAACACUCCCAAAUCAAGAAAGUAUGGGCAAACUUAUCCCAGCAAGGUGGACAUUUUUGUCUGGAUCCUUCAAGUUCUGGAGAAAAAGAGAAAUUUACAGUGAACAAGUUUUGGAGAAUGUGAAGAGCUUGCAGGACUGUGCUGCUUUGGGAUGAUCAAACUCCAAACAGGAAAAAGUGGAUACUGGUAUUACACAAGUUAUAUUUUCCACAGUGAGUGUACAGUUAGCACCUAAGGGUGCAGUAUCUUCAGAAUAAACCGAUUUUUUUGAACAGACACAAGAUGGAGUCCAGUCCCACUUGCUGACAGUCAUUAAGUGUUGUGGCCUUUGUCAACACAACAUUGUGGUGAGUUGACCUUGGCUGGCUGCUCUCCCACUCACGCUCCACAAAAGGAACUGCACAGGGGAGAAUGAAGUGAAAAACCCCAGGUAUUAAAAUAAAGACAAGCAGAUCAUUUACAAAUUACUCUAAUGGGCAAAAUAGACUCACUUCAGGAAAAAUAACUUACUGCCAAUUAAAACAGAAUUGGAAGGUAAAAAACAUAAAUCCUAGAAGAAUUUUCCCUCUGCCUCCUUGCUCCAACAGUGUGAACUUCACUGUUCACACUCAACUCCUACACCUCCACCCCCAACAAGAGGCAUGGGGAGGGUGGGGAAUGGGGCUGGCAUCAGAUCAUUGCUGCUCUUUGCCACUCCUUCCUCCUGUUUUUCCCUUGGUCCAUCAUGUGUCCCUCACACAGGCUGUGAAGCUUUGGGAUAAAGUUGCUCCAGCGUGGCCUUUGCAGUGCCUCUCCCUGAAGGAACAUUCACUUUCUCCAGGCUGGAGUCCCCCAGGGCUGCAGGCUGGGUAUCUGCUCUGGCACUGUCCUCCCCUAUGGACUGCAGGGAAACCCCUGCUGCAGCAUGGCCUGUCCCACAGCUUCCAGGGAGCUUCUGGAACCUGCAGCCCUCCUUGCACUCCUGUUUCCCUGGCCCUGGAGGCAGAGCUGUUUCUCACAGCCUCUCACAGAGUGCUCCUCACACUGACCUGUGCCAUUUUGCUCUUUUCCAGGUGUGUUUUCCCAUCCUGCCUGAGCUGGGCACAGGGCAGCCCUGGGCUCUCCACUCAGGGCCUGCCUGGCAGCCCUGAAACACCACGGCCACUGCUCGGAGUCACCACAGGCCUCAGUGUCAAAAACACAGGCCUCACUGGAAAAAACUUAAAACAGAUUGAGGUGAUGGCAAAUGCUAUAGGUUCCUGCCACCACAAAAGCCACAGAGUGAGCCAGUUCUCCUGACCCCAGUGUGUGCAGGGAAGAUGCACUGAGAAGGAAAAAUACUGAUGGAAAAUACUGAUGGCAGACUUUUUCAGGAAGUCUAACAGCUCCAAAGUCAAAUAACCCAUGACACAGCAAAUCCCAGAUAGCUGCCUCUUCUAUGCCAACUUAAUGCCUCUUCUAGGUCAACUUAAUGUUAGUUGAGGAAAUUGUCUAUUUCUAACAAUUUUACAGCACGAAUUGCCAUGGACAGACGGACAACCCAUGAUGCAAGCCAUCUCCUCUUCAAAAUUAGUCAGUUGAGGUUAUGGACAGGCUUCAAAUCCCUGCUUUUUCAGCUGAGCCACAACAGGUUCCAAGGCUUUGGCACAUACCACAAUAGACACAAAAAGAGUGGGGGGGCUCUUUAUACUGACUACUAAAGAGGUGAGAAAUUUCCUUAUAAAUAAUUAUAGAAAUCAGACAUUUUUUAUGUCACCUGCUAAGCACUUUAAGAAAACAAAGACAGUUUUUUUCUCUGGAAAAGAAAGCCUGAGAACGCCAAGUCUUUCCUUAUCUAUUUAAAAAUGCCUCAUCUCACCUGUUCCAUCUUAAAGCGAUUCACCAUUUUCAAAUGCAGGAUUUGACUGUUGUUUAGCCUUUUGGGGCAAAUUGUUCUCAAAUCCUUAGCACCAGUGAACCUGAAGAUCUGACCAGUCCUGCUUGGACUGAGAACCAGCUGUGUCCCAAAAGGUACUUUUCCUUUAGAAGCUACUUUUCCUUUACUGGCUCUAAACCUUCACCAGCAAAAAGGGAGAGAGAUCUGUCUUCCAAAGAAGAACACCAGGAUCUCUUUCCUUCAGCUUAAUUUUCACCUAAGAACUAAGGAUUAUGUGUUCAGUGAAUCACAGCUGUCCAGACACAAAGCCAAGCAGGGAGACAAACGCAAAGGGGUUGCCUGUUUUGUCCCAGAACUUGGUGAGGUGUUGGGAGCACCCAAGACAGAAAAAAAACUACAGAAGACCUGCCAGGUCCUGCUUUGGGUGCAGCACAAAUGGCACUAUCUCUGCCUGCUGGCAAGCACCCGGGCACAGCACCAGUCCUGAGGGACCCCAGCACUGCCCAGCCCUGCGUGCACACAGGGGACAGCUGCUAGAGGACACUGCUCCAGCCCCUCUGCAGAGCAGGUAACACUGCAAGGACACACAGGGACACUUUAGGUCUCUUGGCACUCAGGCCCCACUCAGAUAUGGCAACUUCAAACAAGAAUUUUACAGGAUAACAUUAGAUAAUGAUUCUGCAAAUGCAUCAUCUGAGAAAGCUGUAGUUUCAAGCUAAAGAAACACCAGCCUAAUCUAUACAUCGCUGGUUUCAUCAACACAGUAAGAACCCAAGAAUAAAUUAAAACUUUAGAUACAGAAGGGACUCCAAUUUAAUAUAUGUCACAAAUACAUUACAAAAGGGCACAAAAGAGGCUUGGUGGAGCAUAACUGCUGAAUUUCCUUACUUAACUUGUUGAAUCGAAUUUCACGGUGAGAUUUUCAAAGAGAGCCCAGUCCUCACAGGAAACAUGACAGAGCUUCUAUGGAAAUAACUGUAUUAAAUCUAUCUUUUCACAUAUGAAAAUAUAUUCAAAUUUCUGUUGGGGGCAGGGGCCUUGUUUAGUACACAACAACUGCAUCCAAAAAAAUUUAAUUUUUCUUUUAAACAUCUGCUUCAAUACCAAACUUCUAGAAUGGAUUCCUUCCACAACUUUAAGAAAACUAUUUAUACUGAACUUAUUACCUCACACAGGAAAAUGCAACCUGUACUUAAAAAUUUGAGAAAGAGUUAGUUUCCUGUUAGACAUCAACUAGUUAACACUGACAGAAACUUUUACAAGAGUAACAAGACAAUUAAUGGAAGAUCUUCCCUGGUAGCAGACAGUGUGCUUUGAACACAAUUGCUUCAACCAGUGCAAUCACUCAUUACUGAGGAUGACUCAACCCUCUCUAUGGAGCAUGACAUCUGUGAUUAUUAUUGAUAAAUACAUCCUUGUCCUGGGCUGAGUUUACAAUUUAUUUCAACAGGAAAGGAAAACAUUUUUGAAGAUUAAAUUAUACCAGUUCUGUCUCCAUGUGUUCUGGAUUAUAUGCACUUGUGCAGUCCCAAAGGACAUGCUGCAAAAGAUAGUUAAAUGAGGACACAUAUUCAUGAAGGAUUAGAUCCAGAUGUGGUCACCACUGCUUAGCAACCAAGGGGACAUGAUGACAGAGGAAAAUCCUCCAUCCAGAGCUCACCCUGCUCCACCUACAAAGCAGCAAGCUAUCUUUCACAGCAAAUUAGGAGAAAUAUGUUUUCUUUGUUACCGCAGAGGUACCCAGUGGGACCUCGUAUGUAGCUUCAUGUGAGACGAAUUUUCUCUCCUUAGUGGAUGCACAGGAGAGAACUUAAGCUGGAGGAGAAUCUGAAACUUGUCGGUGAAAAAGCUCCCCAAAUACUAAUGCCAGGUAAAUAAAUACAUAAGUAAAUAUAAGGAAAAGAAAAAAAAAAAGAGGAGAGAAAGCUCCGAUACCGCGGGGAUGGCAAAGAGAAAAGCGAAGACAAGAGACUUAGCCGAGCACCCCACCUACUUCUACUCAAGUGCUCCAGCCCACCUCCAGGGAGAGCCCAGGCAGCUUAGACCCAAGUCCGGGCAAGACCCCCGCCAACGCGCCGGCGGAACGCCGCACUCACCUCUCCCAUGCCACAGGUUUAAUUGUACUUGCACAAUUUAUACUUGAAAAUGAAAGAGAAAUUUGUUCUUGAAAUCAAAAGCAAAACUUCCAUAAUGAGAUUUUUCAGAGGACCAUACUAUGAAGAAACAAAAUUAUUACUUCAAAGAAAGUGGCUAUUUUCUAAAUUAAAGACUUUGUUACUUGUCUACCUGCUGCAGUUAUUUUGUGCUGUUUGGCAAAAUAAACCACCUCUACUAAGCCCACUAAAUCAUCUUGGAAUCACCAGGACUGUGUGCUCACAGUAUCCAUCAGAGGGCACCCUCACCUAACAACAGAACGUAUUUCAAGAAAGGCCUCUCUAAAAGUUUCAGGAAGGAAGAAAACCCUCUGGAGACUAUAGUGAAAGAAGAAGUUACCAAAUGCCCAUCCCUGGCAGUGUUCAAGGCCAGCUUGGAGGGGCUCUGACCUGGUCUAGUGAGAGGUGUUCCUGCCCAGGGCAGGGGGGAUUGGAACUAUAUGAUCUUAAAUGCAAACCAUUCUAUAAUUCUAUGACUGUGAUUCCAUGGAAAGUAUUUACCAGCAUUGUCCAUACGUUACACUGAAGGUAAGACAAGAUGUGCCAUUCCUUUGUAGCAAACCAGUAAACACAUUGCCAAGUUCACUGUGGAUCACAGAAUGGGUGAGGCUGGAAGAGACCCUGGAGGUCAUCGAGUCCUGAGCUCAACCUGCCUGCUCAAGCAGGGUGCCCCAGAGCACACUGCUAGGAUUGUGUCCAGACAGCUUUUGAAUAUCUCUAGAGAAGGAGACUCCACAAUCUCUCUGGGCAACUUCCAGGGCACAGCCACCCUCACAAUGAAGUUCCUCCUUGUGUUCAGGUGGAACUUCCUGUGCAUCAGUUUCUGCCCACUGCCCCUUUUCUUACCGAUGGGAAUUGCCAAGCAGGGCUUGGAUCCAUCCUCCUGACAGCCUCCCUUGAGACAUUCACUGACAUUGAUGAGGCUCCCCUCAGUCUUGUUCAGGCUGAACAGGCCCAGAUCCCUCAGCCUUCUCUUGAGUGAGGUGCUCCAGACCCCUGCUCACUUGGUAGCCCUUUGCUGGACCUGCUCCAGAACCUCCAUGUCCCUCUGGUCCUGAGGAGCCCAGAACUGGACACAGCACUUCAGAUGUGCCUCAGCAGGGCAGAGUAGAGGGGCAGGAUCAGCUCUCUUGAGCUGCUGGCAAUGCUCUUGCUAAUGCACCCCGGGACACCGCUGCCCUCUUGGCCACAAGGGCCCUGCUGGCUCAUGGACAGCUGGCUGUCCUUCUCCUCAGAGCUGCUUCCCAGCAGGUCAGCCCUCAGCCCGUGCUGCUGUGUGGAGUUAUUCCUCCCCAGGACAGGGCUCUGCAUUUGCUUUUGUUGAAUUUCAAAAGGUUCCACUGUUUUUUCUGAUUUUGCCAAUCUGUAGUUAGAUCUACAGAGAUAUUGCAUUCACUCUGUUUCUUUCCUUAAAAUGAAGUCUGAUAUGUAGCCAUUGCCUUGUCUAUGUCCCUGUAAAUUUAGAAUCUGAUAUUACAGAUGUAGUUGCACUGAGGAGUACAUGAUUACUCCUGAUUUAUGUACUGUAGCUAACUUUUGAGAAGAGACUUCUGCCAUUUCUGUGAAAUACCAAAGGGAGCCUCUCUUAAUCACUCCCUGAUGCACUUCUAUUGAAUAGCAGUAGUUCAAACAAAAACAUCACUGAUUUAAGAAAAAAAUGAAAAAACUGACAAUCAUUUCCAUGCCUUGAAUCACAGACAUAAUUAAUAGAAAACUUUAAAUAUGUGAAUAGAACAGUAAAUGUAAUGAAUUUUUUUACAUAAGAAUGAAAUUUAAUUACUUGAUCUUGAACUGUUCAUUAAUUUUUAAUCAUAACUUUUAGUGUCAGAGAUUGUUUUGUAUUGUUUCCAGAAGAUGCAGGUUGUCUCUGAUGAAUUUUAGGAAUAUAAUUAUCAGUUUUUAAUGGAAAAUUGUUUUCAUCCAAGCUAAUAAACCAUUAAGGAUUUUUAAUUCCAAUUUCUGCCAUUUGCUGCCAGAAAAUGUGUCAAAUGAAAGGAAAUUCAUGUUCUGAUGUGUUAAGCUGGGCAACAGUUUCUUUAGAUGGUUGUUUUACCUUUUCUCACUUUUUUUUUAGCAGAGUACUUUUAAUUACUUUUCUAUGUCUUAAUAUUUAUUUAACCUGAUUUCUUUUCCACAUUCUGCUCUCAUUAGACUAAGGUCAGUUACUUAAAUGACCCAAAUCAAAUAGAAGUGAAAAUCAGAACUACUUAGAAACAUAUCCACUAGCAAAAAAUGGUAUUUAUUUACUAACAAUACUUACUAUACUAAUAUUUAUAAUAUAAUAUAUAAUACUUACUAUACUAAUAUUUAUAAUUCUAAGACCACCAUCUUUUCUAGACUCCUUGAUAAGUUUCCCUCUUGCUACAGGAAUAAAAAAGAACUAGCUGUAGCUCUUCUUUCAGCGCCAAAAAUAAGUAAGUUUUAGGGAACCUUGAGUAUUUUAGGAGUAUUUAAAACGGGAAAAUUUAUCUACAAUGAGUAAGACCAGCAGCAAUGAGACACCUGAGACUCAAAAAUUUGUAAUAGAUGACACUCUGUGUUGUUCUGUAUAUUUUGUUUCCAUCAUCAUCUUUGUUAAAAAAUAUGACUAUUAACACCUGGUAGACAACCACAUGUGCAAUACAGUAUUUACAUUAAAAGGAAAAAAAUACU
Zonotrichia albicollis (white-throated sparrow) is the source of this 6961-nucleotide non-coding RNA. Lineage: Eukaryota; Metazoa; Chordata; Aves; Passeriformes; Passerellidae. The record is from RefSeq and is a predicted model, not a curated record.